GCAUGCGCGGCUCAGAGCUCCGGUGCACGGAGCGCAGUGAGCGGCUCAGAGUGACCGGACACCGGAGCCGCCGCCGCCGCCGCCGCCUCAGUCCGCCCCGCGAGCCGCCGACCGGAGAACCACCGAGCCCGGGACGGAAGUAACUUUCUGCGCGAGGACACGAGCGCCCGGAGAACCAGCUCCACCGGGAGGAGGAGGAGCCGCGGAGCCUCCCGCUGCUCGACCCGCCGUCGGUGAAGUGAGACCGACCAAGAGGCCUCGUCAGGAGACGUCUGACUGCAUGAAGAGGCCGAGCGCCGGGACCCUGGUCCUCACCUAGACCUCCGCCCCCCCCCCCCACUGCCUGGACAUGAGGUCGUUCCGAUCGUUCGCACAUGACGACCGCCAUGUCAUGGCCAAGCACGCCAGCAUCUAUCCGGCGCCCGAGGAACUGGAGGCCGUGCAGACGCUGGUGUCCACCGUGGAGGGAGCCCUCAAGAAAGUGUCAGAUUGGAUGGACGGCCUCAGCAAAUCCUCAGGGAAGACGUCCACUGAAAACGAGGCAGCGGACGACGGAGUGGAGGAUGAUGCUGCUGAGUCGAAGCUGAAGGCCACGUCAGUGCUGUGCGGGGUGACGCGUGUCGGCCUGGUGGCGAAGGGCCUGCUGAUCAAAGGAGACCUGGACCUGGAACUGGUGCUGAUGUGCCGAGAGAAACCCACGAAGCUGCUGCUGUACACCGUCAGCGCCAACCUCCCCCUGCAGAUCCAGACGAUGACGGAGGACAAAUACGAGGUGCGGUCGUGUGUCCCCGAGGCAGCUAUCCGGGUCUGCAGCUCCAAAAACCCUCAACUCACGCUGAAGAUCACCCUCUCCUCGUUAGCCAUGAGGGACGAGCGGCACAGCAGCACUGACGAAGAGAAGGGCGAUCGAGACGUCCACAAGGACGAGGAGGAAGAGGACGAAGACGAUGUCCUGGACAGGCACAAGUGCCGGGCAGCGCUGGCUUUGCUCCGACAUGCCAAAUGGUUCCAGGCCCGUGUCACAGACCUCAAGUCCUGCGUCAUCAUCUUGAGGAUCCUCAGAGACAUGUGCAACACACUGCCAGCGUGGCAGCCCCUCAAAGGAUGGCCUCUGGAGCUGAUCUGUGAAAAGGCCAUAGCCACCUGCAACCGGCCGCUGGGUCCCGGUGAGGCCCUGCGUCGCGUCAUGGAGUGCGUCGCCUCAGGGAUCCUCCUGCCAGGAGGUCCAGGAGUUCAUGACCCCUGUGAACGGGGACCUACUGACGUCCUGUCUGACCUCAGCGCCCAGCAGGCGGACGCCAUCACAGACAGCGCACAGCAUGCGUUACGCCUCCUCGCCUUCGGACAGCUUUACAAGGUCUUGAAUAUGGAUCCUCUCCCUGCGAGCAAACCCUCGCCAAGACUGUUUGAAGGCGGUUGUCAGAAGAGGCUCCGGGAGGACGUCGGGUCGGAUGACAGAGACCUCAUCAAAAGGAUGAAAGUCCUGGACUGGAGGAUGACUGAUCCGAACCACCCCAUGAACGCCCUGAUGCGUCUGAACCAGAUCCACCCGGGUCUCCAGUACCGCCUGCUGUCCCAGUCCGGCCCGGUCCACGCUCCGGUCUUCACCAUGUCCGUGGAGAUCCAGGGAACCACCUACCAGGCCACGGGGAACUCCAAGAGAACCGCCAAGCUCCAAGUCGCCCUCAAGGCGCUGCAGGCUCUGGGCUUCGUUCUCGCCGGCGACGGAGACGUGGACUCGCUGAGCGCCGACGAGAAGUCAGAUGGCGAAGGCAAGAACGACAGGAUGUCCAGCAGCUCCAGCUCCACCUCCAUCACCUCCUCCACAGACACACAGGAGUCCAGAGCUCCAGGUCCGAUUCUGACGGCGGGAGGUAAGAACCCGGUGAUGGAGCUGAACGAGAAACGCCGCGGCCUCAAGUAUGAGCUGAUCUCAGAGAGCGGCAGCAGCUACGACAAGCGCUUCAUCAUAGAGGUGGAAGUGGACAAGCAGGUUUUUCGGGGAACGGGUCCCAAUAAGAAAGUAGCCAAAGCGAGCGCAGCGUUAGCCGCCCUGAACAGCCUGUUCUCCGGCUGCAAAUCCACGAGCAGCAAGAAGAAACGGCCCAAUCCUCCGCCAAAGCGACCGAUGGCGUCGAUGCUGACCCUCCCGGCCCUCGCUGCCAGACCUCCACGGGUCCCCGUCAUCCCCAGAGCUCCCUACAUCAGCACCCCCCCCACACACGGAUACAUCCCCCCAGGUUUCGGCGCUCCCUACGGUUACAGCCCUGCAGGGGCCCUCCCUGCCUACGGUUUUCCCUCCAGAAUGUCCUCAGUAGUUCUCCCAGUCAUCAGAGUCCCCCCAACGUACCCCGUCACCCACCUCUACCCUUAUUAAGACUCAUCUCACAGGAAAUCACUCCUUUUUCUGACCCGUUUCUCCAUCAGCACCAAGUUCCUGCUGCACCUUCAUUACAUUCAAUCUGCUCAUUAGAACGUUGGGCUCUGACAAAUCAGCUCUGAAGUCAUCAAACCGUUAAAACCAUCCGGCGGCCUGUACAUCGACAGUGCCUAUUACCAGCCGCAGACCAUCCACACCCCUAUAAUCAUCCACCUGGGCCCUCAGGAUCUUUUCUGACCCCGCCGAUGUUCCGAGAACUCGCUCGGCCACAGACUCGACCUCCUGUUUAAUCCCCGGCCCUUAUUAAACUCUGUCAGCGCCUCUCAAUUACUGCAGCACCGCUCCCCCGGGUUUCUGCUUCCACGUGAGACACAGCAGCAAUACUGAAAGCAAUAUGGAGGAGAGCGCGCCGCGGGCGACGCUGUGCCGGCUCCAGGUUUGGUUUGAGCGAGGAAGAGGCUGCAGCCGGGGCUUGGUUUGGAAAAACAUCAAUAAAACACAAAGCAAUACUUCUCCUGCCUUCGGGAAUCUCACCGUGUUCCAAAGCAACUCGACUCCGAGCUGAAACAAACAAUGUGAUCUGCUGUAUGUAAAUACAAUAUUUACUACUCUGUACAUAUGGAUGUUUGUGAGUUUUCAAUAUAUGUAAACAUGUUAAUAUGUUUGAAUAUGUAAAACCCACUGACGGGUAAAGAAACGUAUUUAUAACAUAUCUCUGAAUGUAAAUACAGUAGUGACUGAAGUAGCUUUGUAUUGAAAGCACUGUCAGAUAUGAUAUAUGAUAAAUACUCCUAGUUAAUUACAUUUUACAGAUUGUCUAUAACACUGUAUUGGUAUGUUUAUGGUAUUUAAUCUCAAAUUAAACAUUAUUGCAUAUAUUA
RNA transcript from Hippoglossus stenolepis (Pacific halibut), 3261 nucleotides. It is a transcript of the gene named spermatid perinuclear RNA-binding protein-like, with no coding region annotated. The record is from RefSeq and is a predicted model, not a curated record. NCBI's taxonomy places the organism in Eukaryota, Metazoa, Chordata, Actinopteri, Pleuronectiformes, Pleuronectidae. The transcript has 19 exons.